ACGGGUGAGUAAUGUCUGGGAAACUGCCUGAUGGAGGGGGAUAACUACUGGAAACGGUAGCUAAUACCGCAUAACGUCGCAAGACCAAAGAGGGGGACCUUCGGGCCUCUUGCCAUCGGAUGUGCCCAGAUGGGAUUAGCUUGUUGGUGGGGUAACGGCUCACCAAGGCGACGAUCCCUAGCUGGUCUGAGAGGAUGACCAGCCACACUGGAACUGAGACACGGUCCAGACUCCUACGGGAGGCAGCAGUGGGGAAUAUUGCACAAUGGGCGCAAGCCUGAUGCAGCCAUGCCGCGUGUAUGAAGAAGGCCUUCGGGUUGUAAAGUACUUUCAGCGGGGAGGAAGGGAGUGAAGUUAAUACCUUUGCUCAUUGACGUUACCCGCAGAAGAAGCACCGGCCAACUCCGUGCCAGCAGCCGCGGUAAUACGGAGGGCGCAAGCGCUAAUCGGAAUUACUGGGCGUAAAGCGCACGCAGGCGGUUUGUUAAGUCAGAUGUGAAAUCCCCGGGCUCAACCUGGGAACUGCAUCUGAUACUGGCAAGCUUGAGUCUCGUAGAGGGGGGUAGAAUUCCAGGUGUAGCGGUGAAAUGCGUAGAGAUCUGGAGGAAUACCGGUGGCGAAGGCGGCCCCCUGGACGAAGACUGACGCUCAGGUGCGAAAGCGUGGGGAGCAAACAGGAUUAGAUACCCUGGUAGUCCACGCCGUAAACGAUGUCGACUUGGAGGUUGUGCCCUUGAGGCGUGGCUUCCGGAGCUAACG
RNAcentral lists this ribosomal RNA (759 nucleotides) under uncultured bacterium. Its description in RNAcentral is "bacterial SSU rRNA". It matches the Rfam family "Bacterial small subunit ribosomal RNA", at positions 102 to 857 of the family's 1533-position model. The record is from RNAcentral.